Molecule: ribosomal RNA, 486 nt
Filed under: marine sediment bacterium ISA-1273
Lineage: Bacteria
Description: bacterial SSU rRNA
Rfam family: Bacterial small subunit ribosomal RNA
Source: RNAcentral
UGGCGGCGUGCCUAAUACAUGCAAGUCGAGCGGAUCGAUGGGAGCUUGCUCCCUGAGAUCAGCGGCGGACGGGUGAGUAACACGUGGGUAACCUGCCUGUAAGACUGGGAUAACUCCGGGAAACCGGGGCUAAUACCGGAUAACACCUACCCCCGCAUGGGGGAAGGUUGAAAGGUGGCUUCGGCUAUCACUUACAGAUGGACCCGCGGCGCAUUAGCUAGUUGGUGAGGUAACGGCUCACCAAGGCGACGAUGCGUAGCCGACCUGAGAGGGUGAUCGGCCACACUGGGACUGAGACACGGCCCAGACUCCUACGGGAGGCAGCAGUAGGGAAUCUUCCGCAAUGGACGAAAGUCUGACGGAGCAACGCCGCGUGAGUGAAGAAGGUUUUCGGAUCGUAAAACUCUGUUGUUAGGGAAGAACAAGUGCCGUUCGAAUAGGGCGGCACCUUGACGGUACCUAACCAGAAAGCCACGGCUAACUACG